CGCCAGACUCCUACGGGAGGCAGCAGUGGGGAAUAUUGCACAAUGGGGGAAACCCUGAUGCAGCGACACCGCGUGAGCGAUGAAGUAUUUCGGUAUGUAAAGCUCUAUCAGCAGGGAAGAAAAUGACGGUACCUGACUAAGAAGCCCCGGCUAACUACGUGCCAGCAGCCGCGGUAAUACGUAGGGGGCAAGCGUUAUCCGGAUUUACUGGGUGUAAAGGGAGCGUAGACGGCUGUGCAAGCCAGAUGUGAAAGCCCGGGGCUCAACCCCGGGACUGCAUUUGGAACUGCGUGGCUUGAGUGUCGGAGAGGCAGGCGGAAUUCCUAGUGUAGCGGUGAAAUGCGUAGAUAUUAGGAGGAACACCAGUGGCGAAGGCGGCCUGCUAGACGAUGACUGACGUUGAGGCUCGAAAGCGUGGGGAGCAAACAGGAUUAGAUACCCGCGUAAGC
RNAcentral lists this ribosomal RNA (449 nucleotides) under uncultured bacterium. Its description in RNAcentral is "bacterial SSU rRNA". It matches the Rfam family "Bacterial small subunit ribosomal RNA", at positions 329 to 794 of the family's 1533-position model. The record is from RNAcentral.